GAUGAACGCUGGCGGCGUGCCUAAUACAUGCAAGUCGAGCGAACAGACGAGGAGCUUGCUCCUCUGACGUUAGCGGCGGACGGGUGAGUAACACGUGGAUAACCUACCUAUAAGACUGGGAUAACUUCGGGAAACCGGAGCUAAUACCGGAUAAUAUAUUGAACCGCAUGGUUCAAUAGUGAAAGACGGUUUUGCUGUCACUUAUAGAUGGAUCCGCGCCGCAUUAGCUAGUUGGUAAGGUAACGGCUUACCAAGGCAACGAUGCGUAGCCGACCUGAGAGGGUGAUCGGCCACACUGGAACUGAGACACGGUCCAGACUCCUACGGGAGGCAGCAGUAGGGAAUCUUCCGCAAUGGGCGAAAGCCUGACGGAGCAACGCCGCGGGAGUGAUGAAGGUCUUCGGAUCGUAAAACUCUGUUAUUAGGGAAGAACAAAUGUGUAAGUAACUAUGCACGUCUUGACGGUACCUAUCAGAAAGCCACGGCUAACUACGUG
This 496-nucleotide ribosomal RNA is filed under the name uncultured bacterium. Its description in RNAcentral is "partial 16S ribosomal RNA". It matches the Rfam family "Bacterial small subunit ribosomal RNA", at positions 28 to 507 of the family's 1533-position model. The record is from RNAcentral.